RNAcentral lists this ribosomal RNA (367 nucleotides) under uncultured organism. RNAcentral describes it as "bacterial LSU rRNA". It matches the Rfam family "Bacterial large subunit ribosomal RNA", at positions 2099 to 2465 of the family's 2925-position model. The record is from RNAcentral.
CUUUACUGUAGCUUGGUAUUGGGUUCGGGCUUUGACUGCGCAGGAUAGGUGGGAGGCUGAGAGCCAUUCCUUGUGGGGAAUGGGGAGCCAACGGUGAGAUACCACUCUGUCAGAGCUAGAAUUCUAACCCGUCGCCGUUAUCCGGCAUGGGGACAGUAUCAGGUGGGCAGUUUGACUGGGGCGGUCGCCUCCUAAAAGGUAACGGAGGCGCACAAAGGUUCCCUCAGGCUGGUUGGAAAUCAGCCGAAGAGUGUAAAGGCAGAAGGGAGCUUGACUGCGAGACGUACAUGUCGAGCAGGGUGGAAACACGGUCUUAGUGAUCCGACGGCACUGCGUGGAAGGGCCGUCGCUCAACGGAUAAAAGUUA